UAAUGGUGGGGAGAAGAAGCAGGGCACGCGCAUCGUGCGAGCAGCAGCACGACUUAUGUUGUUAUUUACACCGGUUACGCCAGUGUUUUCUUACGCUUGGGCUGUACUGUAGAGCACCACGUGGAUUGUUUAUCUCAUGAAGACAAUAAAAAUAUCGAGAAGCAGGUUCCUCGAGAUUUGUCUUCACUUCCCAGGCGUCCUCUUCACCACUGGCCUAUUUAUUCGCCUUGCAGUUCUCAAGUAAACACAAUGUAAACUUUAAUUCGAGAAGUAAUCGUCUCGAGUGUCGAUCAUCCUGACUGAGGGGUUUUCUUCGAUCUCUGCAAAUGAAUGUCAGUGUAAUACAAACGAAAGUCCUUCAAAAUCUGAAUAUAUUCAUUUCAAAUAAUAAAUUCAACUUUAUAACACCUUAGCUGUUGAAAUAAUGUCGUUGUAGGCCUACAACCUGAGAAUAAAUCAAACAACUUACCAACGUA
Molecule: long non-coding RNA, 476 nt
Organism: Zootermopsis nevadensis
Lineage: Eukaryota; Metazoa; Arthropoda; Insecta; Blattodea; Termopsidae
Source: RefSeq, a predicted model, not a curated record